Molecule: transfer RNA, 67 nt
Filed under: Oxypoda acuminata
Lineage: Eukaryota; Metazoa; Arthropoda; Insecta; Coleoptera; Staphylinidae
Description: tRNA-Ala
Source: RNAcentral
AGGAUAAUAGUUAAUAAUAACAUUUAAUUUGCAUUUAAAAAGUAUUGGACACUACCAAUUUAUCUUA